CAACCUCUCUCCCGUGCUAAGUCCUGUCACAGCCGACCCUGCCAGAGACUCAUUAUAAUAUUGAAAUGACAUUUAAAUGAGCCAAAGUGCGACUGGAGAGGCUAUAAUUGGGUGAUAAUUGGUCUGGCUUCCCACUCCCCCUGCCCCACCUCUAUUUUGCAUUCCUAUGCGCGCUAAUUGACACCCUGCCGGGCGCCCCCCUGAGCUCCCCUUGAGCUCAGUCAAUUAGAACAUUCCAAGAUGGCGGAUGGUACCAGAGAUUUCCAAUAGGACAGUUGGCUAGAGCGUCGUUUGGAGUCUUUUUAUGCAGUUACCAGUCAGUGACCACUGACAAUGUAGGACUAGUAGUACCUUAUCUACACUGAACACGGCUAACAGCUGACCUUCACACCUUCAUGAAAAGAAGGAGUACUCGGAGUAGCUGGUGGGGUCAUCAUGCUGGUACCCUGAAGGCUCACACUUCUCGUGCUGGUUGGUGUGGCGAAGCUGCUGCGGUUGGAACUGCUGUAAAAAGAAACACAGGAGAUCCGAUGUUGCUGGUAGACUGGAAUGGACUGACUGGAUCCUGAGUCUGACUGGCAGCUGCAUGUUCACCUGGUUUCCUGCAUUGAGCAAAAGACGCAUUAGUUAA
Molecule: long non-coding RNA, 631 nt
Organism: Branchiostoma floridae (Florida lancelet)
Lineage: Eukaryota; Metazoa; Chordata; Leptocardii; Amphioxiformes; Branchiostomatidae
Exons: 4
Source: RefSeq, a predicted model, not a curated record